CACCUCACAUCCACACUCAAUUAUCACUAUAAAAGAAGUUUCAUGUACUCCGUAAAACUCACCACCCUCAAUACAUUUUUCUCUUACAACUUUUGUGUGGUCUCUCUCUCCUUUUCUUUUGCUCAAAGGGAGAGAGAGAACAAUAAAAAGAAUAAAUAAUAUUUGUAAGAGAAAAAUGGCUUCUUCAAUGAGGGUGGUCUUCUUCUUGGGCCUCAUUUACGCGGCUCUUAUAUCAGUGGUGGUUGCUUCAGAAGAAGCCGCCACUUUAUCUAUUGAUGUUGGUAAAAUUCCCACCACAAACACAAACGAUGGUACCGCAAUUGAUCAAGCGGUUGGUUAUCUUCUAAUGUUGUUGGCUUUGGUGCUCACCUACCUCAUUCAUUAAGAGAUCGUUAAGGAAACAAAAUGCUAGUGUUGAUAAGAGAGAAGCAUUAUUUAUUGUAACACUUGUGAGGAAUAUUUUUGUUGACAAGAAGGAAGAAUGGUUUUUUGACAAGAGAAUAUGUGCUUCAAUUGGAAACAAUUUAUGGAUACCUAGAUUAUUUUUCUAGCUCCAAUAAUGAUAUUAUAAUUUUUUGGCUUGUCUUUUU
Arachis ipaensis is the source of this 590-nucleotide long non-coding RNA. RefSeq lists it as uncharacterized. Lineage: Eukaryota; Viridiplantae; Streptophyta; Magnoliopsida; Fabales; Fabaceae. The record is from RefSeq and is a predicted model, not a curated record.